This is a non-coding RNA of 181 nucleotides. It matches the Rfam family "6S / SsrS RNA". From Rfam's summary of the family: E. coli 6S RNA was the first non coding RNA to be sequenced, but its function was unknown until recently. It consists of 184 nucleotides that fold into an extended hairpin structure with a large single-stranded internal bulge. The record is from Rfam.
ACUUACCUGCGAUUCCCGUAUACUCAUACUGUUUCAAACCUUUGAUUGUUCUAAGGGAGUUCAACAUUUAGUCGCGGAUAACAUGCCUUCUGGCCAGAAGGACGUUAAAUGCUUCUAUGAGAGCACCCACCUGCUAAGUGCGGGUCUUGGAACACUUGAGUUACGGUUGAGUGGGGAGUAC